GACGAACGCUGGCGGCGUGCUUAACACAUGCAAGUCGAGCGGUAAGGCCCUUCGGGUACACGAGCGGCGAACGGGUGAGUAACACGUGGGUGACCUGCCCUUAGCUCUGGGAUAAGCCUGGGAAACUGGGUCUAAUACCGGAUAUGACCUCACGGCGCAUGUUGUGGGGUGGAAAGCCUUGUGCGGCUAGGGAUGGGCCCGCGGCCUAUCAGCUUGUUGGUGGGGUGAUGGCCUACCAAGGCGACGACGGGUAGCCGGCCUGAGAGGGCGACCGGCCACACUGGGACUGAGACACGGCCCAGACUCCUACGGGAGGCAGCAGUGGGGAAUCUUGCGCAAUGGGCGAAAGCCUGACGCAGCGACGCCGCGUGAGGGAUGACGGCCUUCGGGUUGUAAACCUCUUUCAGCCCUGACGAAGCGAAAGUGACGGUAGGGGCAGAAGAAGCACCGGCCAACUACGUGC
RNAcentral lists this ribosomal RNA (463 nucleotides) under uncultured Pseudonocardiaceae bacterium. RNAcentral describes it as "bacterial SSU rRNA". It matches the Rfam family "Bacterial small subunit ribosomal RNA", at positions 28 to 508 of the family's 1533-position model. The record is from RNAcentral. Lineage: Bacteria; Bacillati; Actinomycetota; Actinomycetes; Pseudonocardiales; Pseudonocardiaceae.